Molecule: unclassified non-coding RNA, 2225 nt
Filed under: Apis florea (little honeybee)
Lineage: Eukaryota; Metazoa; Arthropoda; Insecta; Hymenoptera; Apidae
Description: uDP-glucuronic acid decarboxylase 1, transcript variant X1
Source: RNAcentral
AAACAUUCUAAUUUUUUGCGCGAUCGGUAUUUUAUACCAUGGAACACAAAGUCUCGUUAAAUAUUAGAUCUAUCUUGUAUUUUAUCUGAGUAAUAAAAAAAACAAAAUUUGUGAAAAGUUUAUGUUAGAAAGCUCAGAUAGCAGCACUUACAUUACAUCAAUAAUUAAACGUAACAAUUAAAAGUUAACAAUUUCAGAAAAUUAAUAAAUAGAGAUGACGUAAGAGGUUAUCUUUUUUUAAUUAUAUAAAACUGAAAAUGAUAUUGGUUGAACAUUUCCUUUUACGUACAAUAUUAUGAUGUCAAUGUGCGAUACAAAGUUGAUUAGAAAAAUAAUAUAGAUAUCCUCAAUGACAUGUGCAAUGUUAAAGCAUGGUUGUCACGCCACGGAAGAUGAAACAGGUUGCCUUUUCUGUGAUUUGUAUAAUAUUAGUGUUAGGAUUUUAUAAAACAUUAGUAAAUCCAGAAGAUGAACAAUCUUUUACCCGAGUUCACCCACGAGAUCGUAAAUCUCAUCUAGGAGAUGUAAAUGAAAUUGAAAGUGUCAAUGAAAAAGUUCAAGAGGUAGUUGAUGAAAAUAUACGUUAUACUGAUAUUAAAGAUAUUGAAGAAGCAAAAAUACGAAUUCGUGAGUUAGAAGGCAAAUUACAACAUCUUGAAGCUAAGAUUGAAAAUAAAGUAUCAAAAGACUUCCCAACAGUCAAGUUUCUUAAUUAUAAAAACCGGAAAAGAAUAUUAGUCACAGGUGGAGCUGGCUUUGUUGGAUCACAUUUGGUUGACCGUUUAAUGCUUGCUGGCCAUGAAGUGAUAGUCGUAGAUAAUUUUUUUACUGGAAGAAAACGUAAUGUUGAACAUUGGGUUGGUCAUGAGAAUUUUGAGCUUGUUCAUCAUGACAUUGUUAGACCUCUUUAUUUAGAAGUUGACGAAAUAUAUCAUCUUGCUAGCCCAGCUAGUCCGCCACACUAUAUGCUUAAUCCAGUUAAAACAAUAAAGACAAAUACAUUAGGUACAAUAAAUAUUUUAGGUCUUGCGAAAAGGGUGGGAGCAAGAGUUUUAAUAGCUAGCACAUCCGAAGUUUAUGGAGAUCCUAAUGAACAUCCUCAGUCAGAAACUUAUUGGGGCCAUGUGAAUCCUAUAGGGCCAAGAGCUUGUUACGAUGAAGGAAAACGCGUAGCUGAAACAUUAAGUUAUGCAUAUAUGAGACAAGAGGGUGUUUCAGUACGUGUUGCUCGAAUUUUUAAUACAUUCGGACCAAGAAUGCAUAUGAAUGAUGGUCGUGUAGUUUCAAACUUUAUUUUACAAGCAUUGCAGAAUGAUUCGAUUACGAUAUACGGUAGUGGAAAACAAACAAGAUCUUUUCAAUAUGUAUCUGAUUUAGUCGACGGGUUAGUUGCUUUAAUGGCAUCUAAUUAUACCCAACCAAUAAACAUUGGAAAUCCUGUGGAGCAUACAAUAGAAGAAUUCGCUCUUAUAAUAAAAGAUUUAGUUGGUACUAAUAGUAAAAUAGUUGAACUUGCCGCGGUCGAGGAUGAUCCACAGCGAAGAAGACCGGAUAUCACUAGAGCUAAAAAAUAUUUAAAUUGGGAACCAAAAGUUCCUUUAGCAGAAGGACUUAAGAAAACGAUAAUGUAUUUCGCUAAGGAAUUACAAAGAACAAAGCAUUCUCAGAAAAAUAGUUUCAAACAAUAUUCUUACAAAAACGAUCACGAUAUAGUAGAACAACUUUAACAAACAAAAUAUCAAUACAAUUAAUUUUUUAUCCACUUUUAACAAAGUGGUUUCGGAAAGUGCCAUUAUGCUAUGGACCAUUAUGUGCCAAGAGAUUCCCCGUCCAAAUUGAAAAUUUUGUAUAAUUUAGAAUAUUAACAGCUUGAUUAGAAUGAUAAAUGAUAUGUUAAGUUUGACACACAUACAAUGAAUUUAUUUAUUACAUAUAAUGGUAUGCAAUAGUAUUUAGUUCAAGUGGCGAAUGCUUAUAUCACUUAUUUUAUAAUGAAAUGAAAUAUUCCUACGUUUAGCAAUGAAUUGUGUGCAAUGGUGCUGGGGAAAAUUAAUGUUUUUUUUCCCUCUAUGAAUUAUUAGAUUAAACGACAUGAACUUUGAAAGGUAUUAUAUCGGAUUUACUUAAUAUUUCUAUAAAAUUAAUUUUUCUUCGAAUAUACAUGACAUUAUCUAUUGUUGAAUUUCUGUAAUAAUAUAUGAUAGUAAUAUUAAUCUAAUUAUACU